GUUUACGACCAUACCAGACUGAAAACACCGAUCUCCGAAGUUAAGCAGUUUCGGGCCGGGUUAGUACUUGGGAGGCAGACCACUUGGGAACCCCCGGUGUUGUAGACU
This 108-nucleotide ribosomal RNA is filed under the name Tetranychus urticae (two-spotted spider mite). The record is from RNAcentral. Lineage: Eukaryota; Metazoa; Arthropoda; Arachnida; Trombidiformes; Tetranychidae.